AAGUGGUCUGGGCAGAAAGGAGGUGCAGUGCAAAGGACCAAAGGAGGCCAAAACUAAGCUGACAGGUGUUGCAAAAUGAAAACAAAAUCCACAGAUGCGGGCAAAACUUGGAGAUGAAGAUAUGAAGGACAAAGCACGGGUACUUUAAAAAAAAAAAAAAACAACAAAAAACUCAGCCAAAGUCAAAGCAUUGAAAAGGCAUGGCAUGCAAACUAGUGCAGGGACACUCACACCAAGCCUUGCCAGAAUUGAUCCCCGCUGAAGGCCAAAACAAAUAAGAAGGACUUACAAACAUUCUGGAAUGGAGAUAUGAUCAAAGGAAAUGAAAUUGAAAAAAAAAAAAAAGAAAAAUGGGAAAUUUUGUGACUACAAGAAAGUGGUCUGGGCAGAAAGGAGGUGCAGUGCAAAGGACCAAAAGAGGCCAAAACUAAGCUGACAGAUGUUGGAAAAGGAAAACAAAAUCCAAGGUGGCAGGCACAACUUGGAGGGGAAGAUAGGAGGGACAUUGCAUGGAUACUUUAAAAAAAAAAAAAAAAAACAAAAAACUCAGCCAAAGUCAAAGCAUUGAAAAGGCAUGGCAUGCAAACAACUGCAGGGACACUCACACCAAGCCUUGCCAGAAUUGAUCCCCGCUGAAGGCCAAAACAAAUAAGAAGGACUUACAAACAUUCUGGAAUGGAGAUAUGAUCAAAGGAAAUGAAAUUGAAAAAAAAAAAAUGGAAAAUGAGAAAUUUGGUGACUACAAGAGAGUGGUCUGGGCAGAAAGGAGGUGCACUGCAAGGAAACAAAAGAGGCCAAAACUAAGCUGACAGGUGUUGGAAAAGCAAAACAAAAUCCAAGGUGGCAGGCACAACUUGGAGGGGAAGAUAGGAAGGACAUUGCAUGGAUAUUUAAUAAAAAAAAAAAACAAACAAAAAAAUCUCAGCCAAAGACAAAGCCAUGAAAAGGCAUGGCAUGCAAACAACUGCAGGGACACUCACACCAAGCCUUGCCAGAAUUGAUCCCCGCUGAAGGCCAAAACAAAUAAGAAGGACUUACAAACAUUCUGGAAUGGAGAUAUGAUCAAAGGAAAUGAAAUUGAAAAAAAAAAAAAAGAAAAAUGGGAAAUUUUGUGACUACAAGAAAGUGGUCUGGGCAGAAAGGAGGUGCAGUGCAAAGGACCAAAAGAGGCCAAAACUAAGCUGACAGAUGUUGGAAAAGGAAAACAAAAUCCAAGGUGGCAGGCACAACUUGGAGGGGAAGAUAGGAGGGACAUUGCAUGGAUACUUUAAAAAAAAAAAAACAAACAAAAAAUCUCAGCCAAAGCCAAAGCCAUGAAAAGGCAUGGCAUGCAAACAACUGCAGGGACACUCACACCAAGCCUUGCCAGAAUUGAUCCCCGCUGAAGGCCAAAACAUAUAAGAAGGACUUACAAACACUCUGGAAUGGAGAUAUGAUCAAAGGAAAUGAAAUUGAAAAAAAAAAAAAGCAAAAUGGGAAAUUUGGUGACUACAAGAAAGUGGUCUGGGCAGAAAGGAGGUGCACUGCAAGGAAACAAAAGAGGCCAAAACUAAGCUGACAGGUGUUGGAAAAGCAAAACAUAAUCCAAGGUUGCAGCCACAACUUGGAGUGGAAGAUAGGAGGGACAUUGCAUGGAUACUUUAAAAAAAAAAAAACAAACAAAAAAUCUCAGCCAAAGCCAAAGCCAUGAAAAGGCAUGGCAUGCAAACAACUGCAGGGACACUCACACCAAGCCUUGGCUAAAUUGAUCCCCGCUGAAGGCCAAAACAAAUAAGAAGGACUUACAAACAUUCUGGAAUGGAGAUAUGAUCAAAGGAAAUGAAAUUGAAAAAAAAAAAAAAUGGAAAAUGAGAAAUUUGGUGACUACAAGAAAGUGGUCUGGGCAGAAAGGAGGUGCAGUGCAAAGGACCAAAAGAGGCCAAAACUAAGCUGACAGAUGUUGGAAAAGGAAAACAAAAUCCAAGGUGGCAGGCACAACUUGGAGGGGAAGAUAGGAGGGACAUUGCAUGGAUACUUUAAAAAAAAAAAAACAAACAAAAAAUCUCAGCCAAAGCCAAAGCCAUGAAAAGGCAUGGCAUGCAAACAACUGCAGGGACACUCACACCAACCCUUGGCUAAAUUGAUUCCCGCUGAAGGCCAAAACAAAUAAGAAGGACUUACAAACAUUCUGGAAUGGAGAUAUGAUCAAAGGAAAUGAAAUUGAAAAAAAAAAAAUGGAAAAUGAGAAAUUUGGUGACUACAAGAAAGUGGUCUGGGCAGAAAGGAGGUGCAGUGCAAAGGACCAAAAGAGGCCAAAACUAAGCUGACAGAUGUUGGAAAAGCAAAACAAAAU
Molecule: long non-coding RNA, 2332 nt
Organism: Serinus canaria (Common canary)
Lineage: Eukaryota; Metazoa; Chordata; Aves; Passeriformes; Fringillidae
Exons: 4
Source: RefSeq, a predicted model, not a curated record